UUGCACCACUGCACUCCAGCCUGGGCGAUACAGUGAGACCCAGUCUCAAAAAAAAAAAAAAAAGAGUCUUUUUUGAUGGUGGACAUCUUCCAAUGAGCAUUCACAUGGGACAGAUUUUUUUUUAGUUCUACCGUUGUUCUGAAAGCUCUAUGUAUGUUCCUCUUCCCUAAAAAUCUUUGUCACCAAGCCUCCAGAUUUAUUCCUUCUAAAAUGUUGAAAUUCCAGCUAAUUCCUUAGUUGUUACCCAGGAAACAAUGCAGAUCCUGGUCCGAGGAUGCAGCUCCUUCCAGGCAGCCUGGACUGUGAGGUGUGCUCCAUUGCUCUUCAGGAACCGUCCUUGAGAGGCGUUCCACAGCAGGCCAGACCUGGGGGGAGCAGGUGGGCCAGGCGGAAAGCACAGCACAAUUUGAGAGAUGCUGAGUACUCAUGACUCUGUGUAAGCACCUGAAUUCAGCCCUCAUGGUCUUUUCUGAGCUGUCAGUCAUUUAUCUCUAUUUAGUCAUUUUGCGAAUUGGAGUUAGCUUCCUUCCCUCUACACUCAAAGACGGCAUGUCAACAUUUUAGGCCUCUGGGUGGAAUGAACUCCCAGUUUCCUGGGAGGGAGCUGAUUGGCAUCUAUUCGCCUCUUCCUAGUUUUGUGGGGUUUCCCAGCAUGUGGAGUCAUAGAGAAAGACUGGUCCCACCUUCUAUGUAAUGCCCAAGAGAAUAGAUGACUCUCUGUCCACCCCCACCCUGGCAUCCAGGGCUUCUGGACAAGACCUAGGCUGGCUAAUUGGCUGCUUCCACAUGGGAUCCUGAAUCUGGAGCAAGUGAGGCAAAGCCCAGGGUGCUUAGAAUCCAUUCUCAGUGAGAGCAGCAGGACUGCCCGGGAGGGGAAUAGAGACGGGGACGACCGAGUCCUGCACCAGCAGAGAUGACGUCCGCAGGUGGCGGGGCAGCGCUGUGGCCGUGUCACUCCUCACAAAGCAGGGCUCUUGUGCUCGCAGCCUUCGAUACCGUCUCACUGUCUUGGCUUCUAUUUAUCUUCCAAGCCAAUUUCCAGCCUCCUACACACGUGGGGUUCUUCUGGUAUCAUUCCAGUGAAUUUCAUGUUGUUUUCUGCCCUAAGAAAACAGAGUUGGUACCUCUGCUCGACCAAGAAGCCUGAUUGAUACAGACUGAGAGCUGCAGGCUGUGUUUAUUUGCUUCAUUAACAAGAACAACUUAGGAAUGGCAACUUCCAUUGAUGAGCUUCCUACUUUGUUCUGCGGUUGGAAAACAAACAGUUGUUUCCCUGUUGACGACUGGCCACACUGGAGAGGUGAACAGUUCACUCUCAAGGCCAUACUGACUUGAACACUGGCUGUCUAGAAACAGAGAGGCAGGCAGCGGCAGACAGGAAGAGAGAUGGAGCAGAGUCCUCCAGCGGGAGCUGCACCUCGGAAGCAUCCUUAGAUGCGGCUUGGAGUUGGGAUCCUUCAAUUCCCCUCAGGAGAGUCAGCCAAAAAUAUCAACAGCCACAAUUUAUUGGACGCCUUCAGGAGAAAUGUCAAAGGCCUUUGUCCAAAGGAAACUGAGGCUCUGAGAGAGGAGUGACUUGUCCAGGGUCCUGUGAUGGGAGACUGAGCAGAGUGGGAAUGAGACUGAGUUGGAGUGGAGUUGGCCUCCACUCUGUUUACUAAGAGCUGUGUGUCCCUAGGUAAGUCACUUUCCCUCUCUGGGCCUCAGGUUUUUUACCUGAUAGAUGGGCUUAGAGUCUCUUCUGCUGAUCCCCCAGGGUUGCAGGCAGCCAGUGAGGUUCUGAGUACUGUAGAGGGGAUGCUCUCAGCAGUAGUGGCGGUGGUAGGGAGUUGGGAUUGCAAACCCAGAGGCCAGCAGAGGCCAGGCAGGAACUGGAUUGAACUGGAAACUCAAGCUGUCCACUUGGGUCCAGUCAGGAUGGAUACUGAUAGAAGUGGGGGUCUCAUGUUGCCCACCUCAUGUUUAAGAAGAUUCUAGAAUUAUAGAUUAUUUGAUGUGAAAUUUCCUUAAAUGUAAAUGUUGGUAAAUAAAGUAACUAUUUAAACGAUAUACAUGCAAACACACAUUUGCACACACACGCCUUACACACAAUGGCUGGUCAGAUUUAGUGCAUAGCCAGCCAGCUGGUUUUCUGCUUUGGAAUUAUAGGCUGCUAAUUUUUUUAUUUUUUCUAGACAUGGUCUUGCUUUGUCACCCAGGCUGGAGUGCAGUGGCGUGAACACAGCUCAUUGCAGCCUUGACCUCCUGAGCCCAAACAGUCCUCCCAUCCCAGCCCAGCCCAGCAAAUAACUGGGAUGACUGGCAUGUACCACCAAGACUCACUAAUUGUUGUAUGUUUGUAGAGACGGGGUUUCACCAUGUUGCCCAGGCUGGUCUCAAACUCCAGAGCUCAGGAAAAACAUUAACAUCUGCCAUUUUUCUAAAUUGAAUGUGAAAGAUGAUCCUGACAGGCUGAACAAAGAUGCUUGCUCUCUGUUGUGAUGUUUGACAAGGGAAUCUUCCUUCAUUUUCUCCUCUGAUGAGCCUCUCUACCAGAUAAGCAGCAGCAGGAACCAAACGUUUAAGAAAAAUGUAAAGACAUUAUUUUGUCCAUCACUUAACAUUUUUAUGAACAAGUUGGGAGGUAGCCUGCAUGAAUGCCUCUGUGCAAUGGAAUGAAUGGCCGGAGAUCUCACCAUCCCAGGAUGACUUUGGGGAAGGAAGACCCAAACAGCCCACUAUCACAUGCUGUCCUGCCUGCCUCAGGCCUCCUGUCCUUCUCUCCCUUGUGACCUGCAAACUAACCUUGAGGACUCAUGUCAACUGUCACUGCAUUGGAAGCCCUCUGUGAUAGUUAAUAUUGAGUGUCAACUUGAUUGGAUUGAAGGAUGCAAAGUAUUGUUCCUGGGUGUGUCUGUGAGGGUGUGGC
RNAcentral lists this long non-coding RNA (2908 nucleotides) under Homo sapiens (human). RNAcentral describes it as "HSALNT0405955". The record is from RNAcentral. Lineage: Eukaryota; Metazoa; Chordata; Mammalia; Primates; Hominidae.